GGGGGUGCGCCGCAGUUGGAGAGGCGGGCUGGACUGUAAAUCCAGUGCUUCGGCUGAAUAGGUUCGAAUCCUAUCACCCCCACCA
This 85-nucleotide transfer RNA is filed under the name Saprospiraceae bacterium. RNAcentral's name for it is "tRNA-Tyr". It matches the Rfam family "tRNA". From Rfam's summary of the family: Transfer RNA (tRNA) molecules are approximately 80 nucleotides in length. The record is from RNAcentral. Lineage: Bacteria; Pseudomonadati; Bacteroidota; Saprospiria; Saprospirales; Saprospiraceae.